GAAAAAGGACUCUUCAUAUGGUUUGGUUAUGACUGUUUUCUAAAAGUGCGCAGGAAGUAAAAGAGUUGUAAGUUAAUAUAACGUCUUAGAGGACAUCAGAUAUAUCGUAGUGACUUAUCAAAACAGAGUAGACACAAGACCCUUCCUUUAUUAGGACAUAGUUUUAUUUGAACAUAGGUGAGAAACAGGUUUCUUCGCUCAAUGGUUGUGUACUGAUGAAAGGAAAAAUGUUCAUGAAAACAAAUUCACAAAACAUUAAUAUCCUAUUUUCUAAUAAUAUACACAGCAUUCACAUUAGAGCAUAUAUAAUUCUCCUAAUCUGUUUCUCUUUAAUGCAUCAUUGAAUUAUUUAUCUUUUCUUCCCCAGUCUUAUUCAGUUUCCUAUUUCUGUGAGAGAAGCCCAUGACUAUAGCAACUCUUAUGUAAAGAAAACACUCGAUUAGGCUUGCUUACAGUUUCAGAUAUUUAGUCCAUUGUGUUCAUGGUAGGGAACAUGACAGCAAGCAGGCUGAUAAGUUAUUGGAGAAGUAGCUGGGAGUUCUACAUCCUGAUCUGGAAGCAGUAGGAAGAGAAAGAUUCUGGAUCUUUUGAAACCUCAGAGACCAGCCCCAGUUACAUACUUCCUCCAACAAGGCAACACUUCCUGAUUCUUUCAAAUAGUGGUACUCACUGGUGACCAAACAUUCAAAUCUAUAAGCCCAGGGGGUUAUUCUUAUUCAAAUCACCAUGUCUCCUGAAUUCUCAGAGCUCAGACAGGGCUUCUUCAUAAACUAAUGCAUUAACAGGGUGAUUACCUCCCACAUUUUCUAAGAAAUCAUGACUAACCAAGAUGAAGAGGGAGGUACUAUUUUAUGUUCCUGUGAAAUUCAAUUGGUUCUCUAUGCAGACCUAGAAUACACACUCUUAAUUUGACAUCUUGUUUUGACAUUAAGGAAAUGAAUCUUAAUUCAUCAUAAUGUUAAAAUUGAAAGUAGAAAUGGCGAGAUGACUCAGCAGAUAAAAGCAUUUCUUAAGCUUGCUUGACUCUGAUCCCUGAAACCCCCAGGAUAUGCUUUUAGUAUUCAGUAGCAAGAAUAUGUUUAUAGUGCUGAAGACAUUGAAUAUGGCCCUGCCAGCCCAUGAUAUACAAACAUAAGCCUUAAAUAUAUUGACAACCAGUGACAAGGCAUGCAGUGCUCCAUGAGUGGCAGCAUAAUACACCCUCAUAGUGCCUGAGCUACAGUCAUUUGUACUAAAGCAGCUAAGAGUGUUUCAUUUCACAUCUGACUCUGUGCUUGUACACAGAGAUUCUUUUCUGUCUCAGAGGGGAGCUUCCUAGUUAUCACCAAGAUUCUUUAUUCAUUGUGAUAAUUCGUUUCACAGAAAGCAGAUUAAAAUUUCAGGAGUUCCUUUAAAAUACAAAUGGAAGCCUCUAUGGCCCAGGGAUUUCUUCUGAAAUGUAAACAGUCUUUUGGGCAUAAAGAGCUGUGAGCAAUAUCUGGAUUAAGUUCAUCAAUAUGGUGAGGAAGACAAAAUACAAUCUGCCUCGGUAUUUAGAUUUCUGUACUGAAGAGCUCAGAGUCCUGGAUUUAAGGAACCAGUGCUUUCAGACACACUGGUUCUGUAGGGUACUGAGUUCUCAGUACUGUAGGGUACUGAGUUCUUAGUACUGUAGAGUACUGAGUUCUCAGUACUGUAGGGUACUGAGUUCUCAGUACUGUAGGGUACUGAGUUCUCAGUACUGUAGGGUACUGAGGUGGUUUGAAUGAACAUGUCCUCCAUAGACUUUUGUAUUUGAAUUGUUGGUUCUCAGUUACUGGUGCUGCUUGGGGAGGUUUAGGUGGUGCAGCUUUGCUUGAAGAAAUAUGUAAUGUCAGGCUUUGAGAUGAAAUGCGCAGAAAUGCAAAUAUUCUGAUUAUUAGAACAGAGAGUG
RNAcentral lists this long non-coding RNA (1912 nucleotides) under Mus musculus (house mouse). RNAcentral's name for it is "long non-coding RNA chr19:33923613-33925525". Lineage: Eukaryota; Metazoa; Chordata; Mammalia; Rodentia; Muridae. The record is from RNAcentral.